Molecule: long non-coding RNA, 4048 nt
Organism: Branchiostoma floridae (Florida lancelet)
Lineage: Eukaryota; Metazoa; Chordata; Leptocardii; Amphioxiformes; Branchiostomatidae
Exons: 2
Source: RefSeq, a predicted model, not a curated record
AUUGUGAAGUGAGGUCGGAUACUUGCAAGGAAAAUAAGAUUUUGGCCGAAAUCCUCGUCAGUAUCGGUGUGAUGUGAUAAUUGUUGAUUUUUGUGUUGAACCCAGAGGCCGUGGACGACAAUGUUUGUAAUUUCAUGGGUGGAAGUCCGUUUCUGUUACCAGCAUGGAGCCCCUAACGUGAGACUGAGAGAAAAAAGUACCACGCUGUGUACAGCAUGGCACAUGGGCUGGUGAUCUCUGAGUCUGGAGUGUUCUCUACAAGUGUGGCAAAUCACCUCUAUCUACAUCAGGAUGCUGAGACAACACUACCAGCCGCUUGAUGAGAAAAAUAGUGGCUGCUGUAAUUUCCAUACACCCAGAUAUAAAUAUCCAGACAGAGCAAAACUAUUGGUAAUUGCAGGACAUCCAGCUUACUGAGUUACUCAGGUCUGUUCUUAGUAACCUUGUAACUGUCCAGCCUCUUGGAAACCCAGACUUCGGGGACUGUGCCUCUGGCUCAGUGGGGGCUGGUCCAGUUAAGUUAGUUUGGUUUGCUCGAUGUCAAGGCCACAAGUAAUGUAUCAUUCCUUAAACGUUUAAGCUCAAGUUCCUGGAAACUAAACCAAAUGAAUGGGGGAAUUUUGACCAACUUUUCAUGUUCAUAGCACAUUCUUCAGGAGCCCCUCCUUUCCUUCAUCAUCUUUAUGUAUUUACAUCUGAAGGGACUAUCCUAAAGAUCAAUAAAUAAAUAGAUAUCUUAAUCAGUCUAAUUCUGCAUUGGUGCGUCCUUCCUUUGGUGGCAACAUUUAUUUGGCAGCUCUUUCCGCUUUGUCGUGGUUUUGGUCUGUAAAUGAAUGAAGUAGAAAUAAAUCAAUUGCAAUUAAAUCGAAUAAUAAUGGACUGUUUGAAUAUAGCUACUCUGUCCGUAUUCAAAGACAUAGUAAAGCUCUUCCCGAAACACUUGAAUUGUACCCAUCGUUCAUCGGUCCUAAGCGCUGUUUUAGUGGUCAUAGAUCUCGUGAGGCAUGGUUAAUCCCUCCCGGUAGAGGCUUUUUACGUCAUCUUUGAACUGGUCAAAGUUUGAAGAAAAUAAGCCACAUAAAUGAGGACAUUGUAAGCAGCUUUUCCUGUUGUUUGUAGCUCCCUCCAUGUCCUUUAUCACUUCUAGUUGCUGUUCAGUUUGAAGACAAACCAAUAGAUUGCUGAAGCUCUCAUUUAUGAGCAAUCGUAUUAAGCAAUACUGAAAAAGUUCCGUUGUAUGGAUAAGGUUUGGGCUGUUAAAAAAGGUUCCACUGCAAGUAGCAAAUGUUGUUCUUUCUGAUGAGUGACUUCGGAUCAACACAGUACUUAAAUGAUGAAUUCUGUGGUGAAGAAAAAAAAAUAUUGGAAUAUGAAAGUUCAAUUAGUACACUGAAAAAUGGCUGUAAUGAGAAGCUUAAACGUUGAAAUAUUUACAUAUAACAUCACAAGCAGUAUUACUAAUGCAAUAGAUGACAGUAAAUGCAGUGUAUAAUGUGUCGAUUUUUGCAGACGUGAAAGAUAAUGAACUGGUUGGUCAAUCUCUCUGUACUCCUUUUUCAUCAGUGCACCCACUCCCCUGUGCAUGUCUGUUGUAAAGCAACGGACCUCCCUGUCAUUCUAGUUCUGGGUCCGUCAAGAAGGUGAGGCAACGAUCAAGGCCUUCCUUCUCCAUGGACUGUGAUGUUCCUGUUUCAGACACCUUGAUAAGUUCCAUGACUAGAAUCAGGCCAGUCAUUUCUUCCAUAAGUGUGUAUGACAUGUACUUUGCGUUGAGUCUUGGACUGUCACACAUGCCAUCGCCGAUUACAUAUACAGGUUCACCCCUACACAAGUCCAGUGCCAUGUUUUGUUGUUAUGUUCGUUGAAUGCUACGAAUAUUCUGUUCCAAGGGACCACUGUCUUGAACGGAGAGACUCUACUAAUGCUACUCAACAGAACGUUGAGUAGCAUUAGACCCUCUUCUCUGUAUUUAGACAGCAGAGUUGUGACGCCACAAGUCCCUCAGACUUGCAAUGUAUUUCUAUGCCCAGCUUCCGACAUCUGCCUGUCUUGCAUAAGGUGGUAUUCAAUGAACACCAUAGCAGGUGCAAUGCAACUGAGGUGAGGCAAAUGUUUGCUAUCUUUGUUGUAUCAAGGUCAGGCUUCUUUUUUUUUCCAUGCAUGUUUCUGGAUACCAGUUCUGGUCUUCUGGUCCCGAGAACAUCAGCUUCGUGCUUUGAGUGGCGAAAUGUGUUCUGUUUCUGGAAUGUCCAAUGUUAAAGUUGAAAUCGAAGGAUGUGUUGGCCGAUGAUGAAUUACUGGUAGCGUUUUGAAGAGGAUUCGGUGGUGGAACCGGUAGCAGUGGACUCAGUCUAUUAGGAAGUGCAGGGUCUUCACUGCAGCUGCUACAGUAGUAUAUACACAAUGGAAAACAAUUUAGAACUGCAUCUUAACUUUGAAAUACAAUUUAGAACUACUGCAAGAGCACAGUCUGCACAAUGGCACGUUGACCCUUCCGUAAGACAUUUCAAUAGAUGUGGGCGCAUUCUGGGCACAUAAAACGUUACAUGCCUGGGAUCUGUUGCUGAAGCUAAACAUGUAAUUCAUGUAAUAGCUUGUCUGGAGAACUAGGUAGCUGAACAAGUCUGACUGUUCCACAGGCGUCAAAAAUUGCGGGUCCAAGUGCUCACUUGGAACAAAUACUUUCUCAAUAUACUGCUGCUUUACAUGACUUUCCAAAGACAGCAUACUUGGACAGCACUGGUACAUCAUUGGUAUGGGGAAGGGCAACAUCUUGAUAGCUGGGGACUAAGCACCUAAAGCACAGGAAGUUUCAUUAGAAUGGCAGACUAAACAUCACUUUAUACAGUAUUAAUGCUAAAAAAUAUUUCACAUACAUGUGGGGCUCAGAAGGCAAAAGCUGAACUGUAAAUGUUCUGUUAAGUAUCACUGUUGUUACUAUUCUUAGAAUUAAAAAAAAAAAAUUAUAUUUCUUUGCAAUGAUUUAUUGAAGACAACACAUCUUCGUUCCAACGUUCUUUCGAUGAAUCAUAACAUAAAAGCAUGGAGUACACGGUGUUCCCAGUGUGAAUGUCUUUCUGCCUUUCUUUCCUUGUGCUGGUAGAUCGUGUCUUGACAAGUUCAUAUAUACGGAGAUGCGAAAAGACCUUCUUUGUACAAAGCCUCCCAGCCGUGCACUCAUUAGUUGAGGCACUUAAGUGUCUGCCACAUUCUCCUUUGCAGACACAAUCGAUGAUACAAUCUGCAGUUCGUCCUGUUCCUGCCCAAUACAAAUCUUAGUAUUACUGACAAAUUCCUGUUGAUAUACUCAAUCAUGGCGCCUAUAUCUUAAUUGUCAUAAAAUACCAAGCCUUUACAUCUCCCUUUUGUCCUUGAAAAAUUGUUGGAAUGUAUCAAAACACGACAGCUUCCCUGUUUGGAUAGUUUCAAGCUAACACUUUUUCUUACCUAUCCUGCUGCCAAGUAUGGCCUGGGCUUUAGUGUAUGGGUAUCACAUAAAACAGUGUGUAUGACCCCGUUCACAGCUGAUAAACAAUUGCACCAUGCUUUCAUACAAUAACAUGGGUUUAGGGCCAUACCUCGUUUACAUGUUAAUUAGAGAACUACCAGUACUUGUAGCGAACUGAACAUACAUAAGAAGAGUAUUAUUAACUUUUUUUAGAAUAUGUAUCCAAGCCAGAUGGCGUAUGUGUGAAAGUGCAGCUGACCAUUAGCUUGUUGCUGCCUGCUGUUUAUCCACGUUGCAACUCGGAACCUUAAAACAACAGCUGCUACUGCUAGAUUAUACAACUGCAGUUCUUCCUGUUCCUGCUCUGUACAAACCUUAGUUUGUACAAAUUCCUGCCGAUAUACUCGAUCAUGGUGUCUGUAUCUGAAUUGCCAUAAAAUACCCAGCCUAUACACUUCCCUUUCGUUCUUGAAGAACUGUCGGAAUGUUUCAAAACAUGACAGUUCUCCUACUUGGAUGGUUUCAAGCUUAGUAUUACUGACAAAUUCCUGUUGAUAUACUAAUCAUGGUGUCUGUAUAUAAAUUGUCAUCAGAGCCUUA